Long non-coding RNA from Cucurbita moschata (crookneck pumpkin), 1398 nucleotides. RefSeq lists it as uncharacterized. The transcript has 3 exons. The record is from RefSeq and is a predicted model, not a curated record. NCBI's taxonomy places the organism in Eukaryota, Viridiplantae, Streptophyta, Magnoliopsida, Cucurbitales, Cucurbitaceae.
AAAGGCCGCCACAAAAUCCCUCAAUGCCCUCGUCAAGCUGCACUUAGUGCCCUUCAAGUUGUACUAUAAGGGGGGCAACUGUAACGGAUUAGAAGAAAAAAAAAAAAAAAUGGUUGUCGAUAGGACCGAAAAUCGGAGUUUUCGUUCGCACACGACCCACAAAGAGUGCCCGACGCCGGGGUCAUCACAGAAACCAAACCCGACCUUCAGCCACCUCCAAGACAUCUAUAGAGAAGAAAAAUAGUGAGAAAACGAGAAAGACGGUAAGAAAAUCCGACGAAGCUCCGGCAAAUUCAAACCCUACGAAAUCGACGUUGAAACCUCCGAUUUACGCAACGAAAAUAAUCCCAGAGACUUUUACACACACCAGGGGUAGAUUUAGACGAUUCCUACACGUUGACCGUCGGGUAAAGGAGACAGAACGUUGGAUUUCCGAACCCUCUCAGAUCCGGGAAUGUUAGGCCUUUAUGAACCAAACAAAUACAAAAAACGAAAUUAGGGGGAGAAGGAGACUCGGAAACGGAGGAAAAAUUAGGGAAAAAGGACGUCGGAACGAUGUUACCGAGGAGAGAGAGAGAGAUCGCCGGAAAAUUUUGUGUAACCGGGCGAAGAAGACGAAGUUCGACCCGAGGGCCGGACUCCCGCGACCCGAACAGAGUCCAACCCACUUCAGUCCAAACCUCGACCGACGACACCCCAGCGGCCCAGUCGCCUCAGCCCAAACCAGAAAGCCCAAUUAUGGCCUAACCCAUCAGCCGCGACCCGAGACCCGCAAGCCCAAUCCAAUACCCGACGCUCACAGCCCAGCCCACCUGCAGACGUUUCCUCUCAGUUCAGACCCGAUCCAUCACUCCCGAUCAACCCAGACCUGCGACUGCAACCGAAAACCCGUGCCUCGACCUCUAGUUGUGCCACUUGGCACGUCUACAGCGUGACACCCCUCAGCUCCGGCGGUGGCUUCUCGACUCCGGCGGCUUAUUCGGCUCGAAAAACCUGUUUUCAACCUGUUUGUCAUCGUUCCGACCCUCCCGGACUUAGUUUCGACCCCGUUUAAGGAACCAACCACCAACGGAAGCAUAGGACGUAUACGAGGAGCUAGAAGCUUACGUUUAUAUUUUAGGGAGUACUUCGGCUAAGGCCUACCAAAUAAAGGCAAGGCUCCCAUGUGAGAUCGACGGCGGCAUCGCACACCCCGAGACCGUGGCACAUGCAUAGGAUAGUUAUUUUCCAUUUCGUAGUAUAGGUUAGUAUAGGUUGAAUUUUGUUUGCAUUCAAAGUAUAAGUUAGUUUAGGUUGAAUUCCCGUUUGCAUCAUUAGUAUAGGUUAGAAUAGGUUGAAUUGUAAUCGCAUAAUAAAUCAUUGAGUAGUAUAAGACAAUUGUUUCAAUGUUGUUCUUUU